This 492-nucleotide ribosomal RNA is filed under the name uncultured bacterium. RNAcentral describes it as "partial 16S ribosomal RNA". It matches the Rfam family "Bacterial small subunit ribosomal RNA", at positions 29 to 507 of the family's 1533-position model. The record is from RNAcentral.
AGUGAACGCUGGCGGUAGGCCUAACACAUGCAAGUCGAACGGCAGCACAGUAAGAGCUUGCUCUUACGGGUGGCGAGUGGCGGACGGGUGAGGAAUACAUCGGAAUCUACUUUUUCGUGGGGGAUAACGUAGGGAAACUUACGCUAAUACCGCAUACGACCUACGGGUGAAAGCAGGGGAUCUUCGGACCUUGCGCGAUUGAAUGAGCCGAUGUCGGAUUAGCUAGUUGGCGGGGUAAAGGCCCACCAAGGCGACGAUCCGUAGCUGGUCUGAGAGGAUGAUCAGCCACACUGGAACUGAGACACGGUCCAGACUCCUACGGGAGGCAGCAGUGGGGAAUAUUGGACAAUGGGCGAAAGCCUGACCCAGCAAUACCGCGUGGGUGAAGAAGGCCUUCGGGUUGUAAAGCCCUUUUGUUGGGAAAGAAAAGCAGCGGGUUAAUACCCCGCUGUUCUGACGGUACCCAAAGAGUAAGCACCGGCUAACUUCGUG